This 509-nucleotide ribosomal RNA is filed under the name uncultured Methylophilus sp. Its description in RNAcentral is "bacterial SSU rRNA". It matches the Rfam family "Bacterial small subunit ribosomal RNA", at positions 8 to 512 of the family's 1533-position model. The record is from RNAcentral. Lineage: Bacteria; Pseudomonadati; Pseudomonadota; Betaproteobacteria; Nitrosomonadales; Methylophilaceae.
AGAGUUUGAUCCUGGCUCAGAUUGAACGCUGGCGGAAUGCUUUACACAUGCAAGUCGAGCGGCAGCWKGGACUUCGGUCUGAUGGCGAGCGGCGAACGGGUGAGUAACAUAUAGGAACMUACCCAGUAAUGGGGGAUAACUCCGAGAAAUCGGAGCUAAWACCGCAUACGCCCKGAGGGGGAAAGCGGGGGAUCUUCGGACCUCGCGUUAUUGGAAUGGCCUAUWUCUGAUUAGCUAGUUGGUGAGGUAAAGGCUCACCAAGGCGACGAUCAGUAGCUGGUCUGARAGGAUGAUCAGCCACACUGGAACUGAGACACGGUCCAGACYCAUACGGGAGGCAGCAGUGGGGAACUUUGGACAAUGGGCGAAAGCCUGAUCCAGCCAUUCCGCGUGAGUGAAGAAGGCCUUCGGGUUGUAAAGCUCUUUCGGCAGGAAAGAAAUUGCCGUUUCUAAUACAAACGGUAGAUGACGGUACCUGAAGAAGAAGCACCGGCUAACUACGUGCCAGC